This 253-nucleotide ribosomal RNA is filed under the name uncultured bacterium. RNAcentral describes it as "partial 16S ribosomal RNA". It matches the Rfam family "Bacterial small subunit ribosomal RNA", at positions 524 to 776 of the family's 1533-position model. The record is from RNAcentral.
UACGUAGGGCGCAAGCGUUAUCCGGAAUUAUUGGGCGUAAAGAGCUCGUAGGCGGUUUGUCGCGUCUGCCGUGAAAGUCCGGGGCUCAACUCCGGAUCUGCGGUGGGUACGGGCAGACUAGAGUGAUGUAGGGAAGACUGGAAUUCCUGGUGUAGCGGUGAAAUGCGCAGAUAUCAGGGGGAACACCGAUGGCGAAGGCAGGUCUCUGGGCCGAAACUGACGCUGAGGAGCGAAAGCGUGGGGAGCGAACAGG